AGAAACAGUGUUCAAACAUAGAUUUCAUAAGUAUCAAAAAUAUAAAUGCUAAACUAUUACAAGCAUUCGUCUUAAUUUUUCUUUUACAUUACAUUUUCCAAGUACUACUAGAUUAUUACAAAUUACAUUAAGUUUGUUCCUUUCAUUCUAUAACCUUAGCUAGACCACUUCAGGUACCGCUAUCUCUGGUCUCGGUGGUAGGGUGCUAUCUACUGAGCUACGCCCUUUCCUCGCGCCGCUGCGGCGCUCACGUGAAAAUCUGAAAUCCCCAAAAUA
Molecule: long non-coding RNA, 276 nt
Filed under: Ananas comosus (pineapple)
Lineage: Eukaryota; Viridiplantae; Streptophyta; Magnoliopsida; Poales; Bromeliaceae
Description: long non-coding RNA (ACOM_LNC018021)
Source: RNAcentral